This 448-nucleotide ribosomal RNA is filed under the name uncultured organism. Its description in RNAcentral is "partial 16S ribosomal RNA". It matches the Rfam family "Bacterial small subunit ribosomal RNA", at positions 331 to 796 of the family's 1533-position model. The record is from RNAcentral.
GUACACUCCUGCGGGAGGCAGCAGUGGGGAAUAUUGGACAAUGGGCGCAAGCCUGAUCAAGCCAUGCCGCGUGAGUGAUGAAGGCCCUAGGGUUGUAAAGCUCUUUCACCGGUGAAGAUAAUGACGGUAACCGGAGAAGAAGCCCCGGCUAACUUCGUGCCAGCAGCCGCGGUAAUACGAAGGGGGCUAGCGUUGUUCGGAUUUACUGGGCGUAAAGCGCCCGUAGGCGGACUAUUAAGUCAGGGGUGAAAUCCCGGGGCUCAACCCCGGAACUGCCUUUGAUACUUGUAGUCUUGAGUUCGAGAGAGGUGAGUGGAAUUCCGAGUGUAGAGGUGAAAUUCGUAGAUAUUCGGAGGAACACCAGUGGCGAAGGCGGCUCACUGGCUCGAUACUGACGCUGAGGUGCGAAAGCGUGGGGAGCAAACAGGAUUAGAAACCCCAGUAGUCC